Tribolium madens (black flour beetle) is the source of this 318-nucleotide long non-coding RNA. RefSeq lists it as uncharacterized. The transcript has 3 exons. Lineage: Eukaryota; Metazoa; Arthropoda; Insecta; Coleoptera; Tenebrionidae. The record is from RefSeq and is a predicted model, not a curated record.
GUUUCGCGUGACGCAAUAUGUCACCGUUAAAAUUUAUUUUCGCAUUAAUAUUUGAUGUGUGGCCCCUAAGAAUGCCGAUCGAUCGGAAGGGGAUGGCCGAGGUUCAAACAGGUUAACAGAUUUCUCGACCCGUCAUUUAUGAGGGUUGAUGAAUGGUGGGUGGGUUAACACGUCGUAAAGCUGCAGAGGGCGUUACUACAUUUCCCAUAUAGGCUGACCGGACCCAAGAACUACGGAUCUUCCGCCGUAUAUAAACUUAAUCAGCAAUGCUCGAUUCACGAUUCCAUUCAACUACGAAACUCACAAUCAACCCAAAGA